Molecule: transfer RNA, 67 nt
Filed under: Tamolanica tamolana
Lineage: Eukaryota; Metazoa; Arthropoda; Insecta; Mantodea; Mantidae
Description: tRNA-Glu
Rfam family: tRNA
About the family: Transfer RNA (tRNA) molecules are approximately 80 nucleotides in length.
Source: RNAcentral
AUUUAUAUAGUUUAAAAUAAAACAUUACAUUUUCAUUGUAAAAAUAAAAUUCAAAUUUUUAUAAAUU